UACGGCCGCAUCACGUUGAAACAUCAGUUCCCAUACGAUCCCCGAAGUCAAGCAACGUCAAGCAUGGUGAGUACUUAGAUGGGCGACCUCUUGGAAAUACCAGGUGCU
Acanthosepion pharaonis is the source of this 108-nucleotide non-coding RNA. Lineage: Eukaryota; Metazoa; Mollusca; Cephalopoda; Sepiida; Sepiidae. The record is from the annotation of a GenBank genome assembly.